ACAUGCAAGUCGAGGGGCAGCAUGAUCUAGCUUGCUAGAAUUGAUGGCGACCGGCGCACGGGUGAGUAACGCGUAUCCAACCUCCCUAUAGUAGAGGACAGCCCGGCGAAAGUCGGAUUAAUACUCUAUGUUUUCCAAUGAGGACAUCUGAGCUGGGAAUAAAGGUUUACCGCUAUAGGAUGGGGGAUGCGUCUGAUUAGAUGGUAGGCGGGGUAACGGCCCACCUAGUCGACGAUCAGUAGGGGUUCUGAGAGGAAGGUCCCCCACAUUGGAACUGAGACACGGUCCAAACUCCUACGGGAGGCAGCAGUGAGGAAUAUUGGUCAAUGGGCGCGAGCCUGAACCAGCCAAGUAGCGUGCAGGAAUGACGGCCCUAUGGGUUGUAAACUGCUUUUAUAUAGGGAUAAAGUGCACUACGUGUAGUGUUUUGUAGGUACUAUAUGAAUAAGGACCGGCUAAUUCCGUGCCAGCAGCUGC
This 477-nucleotide ribosomal RNA is filed under the name uncultured bacterium. RNAcentral's name for it is "bacterial SSU rRNA". It matches the Rfam family "Bacterial small subunit ribosomal RNA", at positions 53 to 518 of the family's 1533-position model. The record is from RNAcentral.